This 31-nucleotide non-coding RNA is filed under the name Rattus norvegicus (Norway rat). Lineage: Eukaryota; Metazoa; Chordata; Mammalia; Rodentia; Muridae. The record is from RNAcentral.
UAAACAAUAUAACUUACUUUGGUGAGACAGC